Molecule: ribosomal RNA, 467 nt
Filed under: uncultured bacterium
Lineage: Bacteria
Description: partial 16S ribosomal RNA
Rfam family: Bacterial small subunit ribosomal RNA
Source: RNAcentral
GACGAACGCUGGCGGCGUGCUUAACACAUGCAAGUCGAACGGAAAGGCCCUGCUUUUGUGGGGUGCUCGAGUGGCGAACGGGUGAGUAACACGUGAGUAACCUGCCCUUGACUUUGGGAUAACUUCAGGAAACUGGGGCUAAUACCGGAUAGGAGCUCCUGCUGCAUGGUGGGGGUUGGAAAGUUUCGGCGGUUGGGGAUGGACUCGCGGCUUAUCAGCUUGUUGGUGGGGUAGUGGCUUACCAAGGCUUUGACGGGUAGCCGGCCUGAGAGGGUGACCGGCAAAAUGGGGACGGAGAUACGGCCAAGACCCCUAGGGAGGCAGCAGUGGGGAAUAUUGCACAAUGGGCGGAAGCCUGAUGCAGCAACGCCGCGUGCGGGAUGACGGCCUUCGGGUUGUAAACCGCUUUCGCCUGUGACGAAGCGUGAGUGACGGUAAUGGGUAAAGAAGCACCGGCUAACUACGUG